UUGAGCCGUAUGCGGUGAAAGCCGCACGCACGGUUCUUGGGGGGAUGGAUCAGGAAUGGCCCGUCCCUCCCGGC
This 74-nucleotide non-coding RNA is filed under the name Azotobacter chroococcum. Lineage: Bacteria; Pseudomonadati; Pseudomonadota; Gammaproteobacteria; Pseudomonadales; Pseudomonadaceae. The record is from RNAcentral.